RNAcentral lists this unclassified non-coding RNA (593 nucleotides) under uncultured Plectosphaerella. RNAcentral describes it as "sequence contains 18S rRNA gene, ITS1, 5.8S rRNA gene, ITS2 and 28S rRNA gene". The record is from RNAcentral. Lineage: Eukaryota; Fungi; Ascomycota; Sordariomycetes; Glomerellales; Plectosphaerellaceae.
UCCUCCGCUUAUUGAUAUGCUUAAGUUCAGCGGGUAUUCCUACCUGAUCCGAGGUCAACCUUGGUGCCGCCGAAGCGGGCUUGUGGGGGGUUUAGAGGCAGGACGCCGAGGACUCCCGAUGCGAGGCGAAUGCUACUGCGCAAAGGAGAGGGCCCUUCGGGUCCGCCACUGGUUUUAGGGGCCUGCCGUGGCAGAUCCCCAACGCCGGGCCACAGGGGCUCGAGGGUUGAAACGACGCUCGGACAGGCAUGCCUCCCAGGAUACUGGAAGGCGCCAUGUGCGUUCAAAGAUUCGAUGAUUCACUGAAUUCUGCAAUUCACAUUACAUAUCGCGUUUCGCUGCGUUCUUCAUCGAUGCUGGAGCCAAGAGAUCCGUUGUUAAAAGUUUUGACAGUUCGCUAAGAACACUCAGAAGUAUCGUCGGGUUCGAAAACAGAGAUUCUGAUGAGACCGGCGGGCACCCUUGCGGGCGCCGCCGAAGCAACAGGUAUAAUAGUUCACAAAGGGUAGAGAGUGUAGUACUCAGUAAUGAUCCCUCCGCUGGUUCACCAACGGAGACCUUGUUACGACUUUUACUUCCUCUAAAUGACCAAG